This is a small nuclear RNA of Hyaena hyaena (striped hyena), 107 nucleotides long. The record is from RefSeq and is a predicted model, not a curated record. NCBI's taxonomy places the organism in Eukaryota, Metazoa, Chordata, Mammalia, Carnivora, Hyaenidae.
GUGCUGGCUUUCGCAGCACACAUACUAAAAUUGGAAAGAUACAGAGAAGAUUAGCAUGGCCCCUGUGCAAGGAUGACACGCCAAUGUGUGAGGUGUUCCAUACUUCU